UCUCUUUUUCUUCUCUUUUUAUAGUUUCUCUCCAUCCCUUUGUAGUGAACUCAUGCUGCAUUUUCUGUGAAAUCAGUCAGUCAGAUUGGAUCUUGUUGUUCUCUAUAGGCUCCUGUGGGCGUCAGACUAAUUAUGAACCUUCCUCCAGUUGCAUUCUGGGUAACCGUCAGCUUGUGUCAUUGCAGGUUGAGAUGUCAGUCACCUUUAACUGUGAACGGCCCUCAGUGACGGUGACACCAGCACUUACUGGAUUGAGACACGUUCAUCUGUUACCAUGGAUGACCUCCCAGAAUCAAUAAACCCUGAACCGGACUACAGAAGAGCUGCAAGCCCACAGUGCAUGAGCUCCUUCAUUUAUCUCUCGCUCGCUCGCUCUGCUGUGUGUGUGUGUGUGUGUGUGUGUGUGUGUGUGUGUGUGGGUGUGUGUGUGUGUGUGUGUGUGUGGGUGUUUGUGUCAGUUCUGCUCCAGCUGCUUUAUUUUCACACAACAGCGCAUGUGUGUGUAAGUGAGUGGGAGUGUGUGUGUGUGUGUGUGUGUGUGUGUGUGUGUGAGUGUGUGUGUGAGUGUGUGUGUGAGAGUGUGUUUAGCUGUAAUCCUCUCAGCAGAUUCACCAGGUCACUGAUCUCAAAGCAGUCUGGAUUUAAAAUGCUUUUGUUACUGUUCAAAUCUGAGUCAAAUCCCCUCACAGCACACACACACACACACACACACACACACACACACACACACACACACACACACACACACACACACACACACAGUACAGUGACUGGCUGCAGUGUGUGAGAUCUCAGAAAGACACAUUUAAUGACACCGUUAGGAAGAAACUGAACUCACUGCACUGUUCUUUAUAUUCUGUAUCAAGCUGAAACUCUAGGGAUAUUUGAGGACGUCCUUAUUUAGAAAAUGCUUACGGAUUUAUUUUAGGAUUUGCAUUAUUCUGAACUCAUUAUGGUCAGUUUGUCUGUAGGUUUAUGAUAUGAGUGUGUGUCUAACUGUACUGCAUUAACACGUCGAACACUUGUGUUUACAUACAACCUGCUGUUUCCAGAUCUCGUCUUUCUUAAAUUAAUUUACCAGGAAUUAAAAUGUUACAUUUUUAUAGUCUUUUAUAAAUUUGUUAUAGUUUCUGUUUAUUGUUAUAUUUCAGCUGUAAAUGUUAGUGAUUGUCUUAAUUUUUACCACGGAUGCUGUCCAGAUUUUUUUGUAUUAUAUAUCAACUAUAAUAUUUGUUAAUAAAUUGAAUUAACUUUUAUUUUCA
This is a long non-coding RNA of Cyprinus carpio (common carp), 1262 nucleotides long. The record is from Ensembl. NCBI's taxonomy places the organism in Eukaryota, Metazoa, Chordata, Actinopteri, Cypriniformes, Cyprinidae.